This 1254-nucleotide long non-coding RNA is filed under the name Malus domestica (apple). Its description in RNAcentral is "long non-coding RNA (MDOM_LNC000511)". Lineage: Eukaryota; Viridiplantae; Streptophyta; Magnoliopsida; Rosales; Rosaceae. The record is from RNAcentral.
GGAGUUCUCAUUAAUUAUGAAGAGUCUACACAAGUACAUAGAUUCAAGCUCUCCUUUAAUGAGUACUAGUGAAUGAUUUAGUACAAAUGACAUUAGGAAAUAUUGUGAAAGAAUGAUCUUUAUUUAUAGAAGAGAGUUUCUAGUUUCAUUCUGACAUUGACAUAUGUCGUGUUGUGAUUGGCUUCUAAUGUUGACACGUGUCGCGCUAUGAUUGGCUUCUGAUGUUGACACGUGUCACGCUGUGAUUGGCCUCCUGGUUGGAGGGAAACUCUUCUGGGUCCUUGACGAUAUAACGUUGACCGGUGCUUAGUAGUUUCGGGAUUGGUCAAGUAUGGUACAAACAGGUGGUCACCAAGGUUUCUUCUAGAAGGUCGAUAAGCCGUCAGAAAAGUGUCAACGAUAAUCGUUCCAAGUUAUCCAAAAGUCAUGAAAAGAUGGCAUAUUUCAUGUUCGACGAGGUGGCAAAAUUAUGACAUUAGAAUUCAAGAACCGAGAAUGCUUACAUCACAUGUGUGAUGAUAGUGAUACUACAUAACCUAUGCUCUGAUACCAAACUGACACAUCCCGACCUGGAAUGUCCACCUGGACACCUGAACCGUGAUGUGCUGGUCGACACCUGGAAGGUGACAAAACCAUAAAGUGUAGUGAUUUGGAAAAUGUGAAUAAAUUAAAACCUAAAAGUGACUAAUUUAAAGUGCGCAUGAGAGCAAGAUUGAACCCAUAUCACACAAGUGAUGUCAAAGUAUAGAUAAAAUUGCAGUAAAAGAAGAGUAAGAACAUUUAUACCAAAAUGAGAAGUCUCAUUCACAAUAGGUUUUGCUAACAAUCCUCAUCGUCAUGAAACCUCUGCCACUAAAAUCCUGGAACAGCAAAAAACAUAAGUGAGUGGGCCUGAAAAAUAAAGUUUUGUAAAACCUUUUCGAAAAGUUGUAACCCCUAGCUGUAAAACAAGUAUAUGGUUUCCCCAAAAUAAUAUAAUAUUAGUAAGUAAUACGAUACCCUGUAACAAAAGUGAGUAAAAAGAUGUAGGGUACACCAUCAAGAUAUCUCAACAUUAAAUCUCAAAUUGAUAUCACAAGAAAACAAUGCUCAUUAAUUUAUGUAGGCACACAAGUCCAUUGAAGAGAUAAUCAGACAAUGGAAUAGGCUGGCUGUAGGUUUUACAUUAUGGUACUACAUCACGUGAGUUGUGCUAGUUGCAUCACAUACAAGUCCAAAACAUCACACAAAAGGAUAGGUUGGCACCUAACUCUG